ACUAAGUGAGCUACUUCGAGGCAGUUUUAAGAACGAACCCAUCUCUGUUGCAAAAGAGUGGGAUGACCCCCAAGUAGCGGCGACAAACCUACCGCACUUAGAGAUAGCUGGUUACUCAAGAAAAGAAUUUAAGUUCAACCUAAAGUUUUGUAAUUAAACAAAAAUACAAUAAAACUUUAGAGCUAUUCAAGUAAGGCACAGCUUAUUUGAAACAGGACUCAACCUACAACAUAGGGUAAUAUUAACAAACAAGUAUCAAGUGGGCCUAAGAGCAGCCACCUACAUAAAAGCGUUAAAGCUUAAUACUCAAGUUAAACUAAUAACACCACCACCCAAGAACCCCUCACUAAUAUUAAGUAACUCCAUAAAUUUAUGGAAGCUAUUAUGCUAGAACUAGUAACAAGAAAUAGCUUUCUCCUAAAUGUAAGCCUAAGCCCCCAAUAGACUAACUACUGGCAAUUAACGAAUAUGAA
This 473-nucleotide ribosomal RNA is filed under the name Mantidactylus opiparis. RNAcentral's name for it is "partial 16S ribosomal RNA". The stretch from base 1 to 391 matches the Rfam family "Bacterial large subunit ribosomal RNA", at positions 720 to 1300 of the family's 2925-position model. The record is from RNAcentral. Lineage: Eukaryota; Metazoa; Chordata; Amphibia; Anura; Mantellidae.